RNAcentral lists this transfer RNA (91 nucleotides) under Clostridiaceae bacterium. RNAcentral describes it as "tRNA-Ser". It matches the Rfam family "tRNA". Rfam says of the family: Transfer RNA (tRNA) molecules are approximately 80 nucleotides in length. Their secondary structure includes four short double-helical elements and three loops (D, anti-codon, and T loops). Lineage: Bacteria; Bacillati; Bacillota; Clostridia; Eubacteriales; Clostridiaceae. The record is from RNAcentral. RNAcentral also lists the same sequence under 1 other name.
GGCAGCGUGUCAGAGUGGCUUAAUGAGGCGGUCUUGAAAACCGUUGGCGACUAAUAUUCGCCCGUGGGUUCAAAUCCCACCGCUGCCGCCA